GUGCCCCAUGUGCCAGUGCCCCAGAUGGCGGCAGCCUCCCCAGAAGCACCUUGUAUCUCCCCUGCACAGGGCCAGGGUCCCAGCUUCCCAUACACCUUCUCCUGCUUUUUCUUUUCUGUCCUUUCCUUUUUCAAUAAACCACCUGCAAAAAGGAAAAACCAUUCUGAGGACAAGAAACAUGUCAAUGGGAAAUACACAGUUGCCAGAGGGUAAAAGGCCCUGUUCAUUCUCAUUGAAAAGCUCAGGUAUUUCUGUUAAAGUCUCUCCUUUUACUUUAGGAUGCUGACUCCUGCGUCCAUCUCAACCUGGGCAUCGUGCCACCACCUUCAAGAAGAGAAAAACUAAGUAGUGCUUUGCAAAGGGGCAGCAGCAUUUCUCAUUUCUGACCAUGUCAGGCACACGGCCAUGCAGAUGAGCAGGUGGGGGACACA
Molecule: long non-coding RNA, 431 nt
Filed under: Homo sapiens (human)
Lineage: Eukaryota; Metazoa; Chordata; Mammalia; Primates; Hominidae
Description: non-protein coding lnc-ZFP57-9:1
Source: RNAcentral